Non-coding RNA from Paramuricea clavata, 662 nucleotides. The record is from the annotation of a GenBank genome assembly. Lineage: Eukaryota; Metazoa; Cnidaria; Anthozoa; Malacalcyonacea; Plexauridae.
GUGGGAUCAAGACAACUACAUAUGGUGCAGAUGUCCUUUGUUGAUGAUUUAUUCAUGAGUUUGAGAACAAUAGACCUUACCGAUUAUUCUCUUUUACCCAAUGGCCUCGUUUCCAUGUUAACUUAUUUUAGCAUGUCAGGGGCAGAUAAAGAUUAUAUUCCCAUGUUUUCCUGGACGAAUUUGUUUCUUGCUGUUCUUAGGCUCAAUAACAAACUAAGAAAUUUCCAACCCUUAACCCUACUAAGCACAAAACAUAGUAUUUGACACGAAAACGAGGCCAUUGGGUAAAAGAGAUUAGUAUAAACCAUUUACCUACUACGCUACUACACAUGUAAAAACGCACAAGUUGUUACAGGUCUGCAAACAAGUUGUUACAAAUCUGUUCACAAGCUGUCGACAAGUUGUGUUCGCACUGCUUGUUCCCAGUUGUUGUAACAAGUUUCAAACAGGUUUGUAUAAAUUCCUCGAAUAGCGCAACAUUGCUCUUCCAAGAAAACCGGAAGAGGUCAACCCAAGUCACCUCAAACCUGUGCUGUGCACUGAUCUAAUAGUAGAUCCACUGUGCUGUUCCUCAAAUCGAAAGCGAUCCAUAAUACGUCAAAAGGCGCCGCCGCUGUACGUACUGCAUUCAAUUUACUGUAUUAAAAUUGUGCUUUCAUAAC